GAGGGUAGAGCUCAGUGCUAGAGUGCAGGCUUAGCAUGCACAAGGUCCUGGGUUCAAUCCCCAGUGCCUUUA
This 72-nucleotide transfer RNA is filed under the name Camelus bactrianus (Bactrian camel). It matches the Rfam family "tRNA". From Rfam's summary of the family: Transfer RNA (tRNA) molecules are approximately 80 nucleotides in length. The record is from Rfam by way of RNAcentral. Lineage: Eukaryota; Metazoa; Chordata; Mammalia; Artiodactyla; Camelidae. RNAcentral also lists the same sequence under 2 other names.